This 1146-nucleotide ribosomal RNA is filed under the name Gonatophragmium mori. RNAcentral describes it as "partial large subunit ribosomal RNA". It matches the Rfam family "Eukaryotic large subunit ribosomal RNA", at positions 62 to 1226 of the family's 3401-position model. The record is from RNAcentral. Lineage: Eukaryota; Fungi; Ascomycota; Dothideomycetes; Acrospermales; Acrospermaceae.
CAACCAGGGGGGAUUGCCUCAGUAACGGCGAGUGAAGCGGCAACAGCUCAAAUUUGAAAUCUGGCGCCUCCGGGCGUCCGAGUUGUAAUUUGCAGAGGAUGCUUCGGGAUCGGCGCUGCCCCAGGUUCUUUGGAACAGGACGCCACAGAGGGUGAGAGCCCCGUCUCUGGGCGGCAGCCGAAACCGUGUGAAGCGCCUUCGACGAGUCGAGUUGUUUGGGAAUGCAGCUCAAAACGGGAGGUAAAUUUCUUCCAAGGCUAAAUACAGGCCGGAGACCGAUAGCGCACAAGUAGAGUGAUCGAAAGAUGAAAAGUACUUUGGAAAGAGAGUCAAACAGCGCGUGAAAUUGUUGAAAGGGAAGCGCUUGCAGUCAGACUUGGCCGCCCGGUUCGGCGGGGCCUCGCGCCCCGUCUCCGCCGUGGCGGUCAGGCCAGCAUUGGUUCGGGCGACCGGAGAAAGGCUGCGGGAAUGUGGCUCCUCUCGGGGAGUGUUAUAGCCCGCGGCAGAAUACGGCCAGCCCGGACCAAGGAACGCGCUUCGGCUCGGAUGCUGGCGUAAUGGCUGCAAGCGGCCCGUCUUGAAACACGGACCAAGGAGUCUAACAUCUGUGCGAGUGUUUGGGUGUCAAGCCCUUGCGCGCAAUGAAAGUGAACGGAGGUGGGAGCCCUCGGGCGCACCAUCGACCGAUCCUGAUGUCUUCGGAAGGAUUUGAGUAAGAGCACAGCUGUUGGGACCCGAAAGAUGGUGAACUAUGCCUAAGCAGGGUGAAGCCAGAGGAAACUCUGGUGGAGGCUCGCAGCGGUUCUGACGUGCAAAAUCGAUCGUCAAAUUUGGGUAUAGGGGCGAAAGACUAAUCGAACCAUCUAGUAGCUGGUUCCUGCCGAAGUUUCCCUCAGGAUAGCAGCAACGGGACGCAGUUUUAUGAGGUAAAGCGAAUGAUUAGAGGCUGGGGGUUGAAACCACCUUCACCUAUUCUCAAACUUUAAAUAUGUAAGAAGUCCUUGUUUACUCCUUGAACGUGGACAUUCGAAUGCACCGUUGCUAGUGGGCCAUUUUUGGUAGCAGAACUGGCGAUGCGGAUGAACCGAACGCGAUGUUAAGUGUGCCGGAAUGCACGCUCUUCAGACACCCACCAAAAUGGUGUAA